CCUAACUAAGGAAAAUAAAGACUUUAUUUACUUUAAAGUAACGCUUCCAAAUAAUUUUCAUGUUAUUCAUGCCACAUGAAAUUAGAUUAAUUUAUCGCUUCAACUGUUCGGGUGCAAUCCAAAGCAGUCCAGACCAGAAGAAAAGAUAAAUUAAUCGCAUUAAAAAAGUGCAUGCAAAAAAUUAUACCCUAAUAUUAUGUUUACUUCGCUCCCAAAGAAGGUCUAGAUAUGAAGGUAUAGAUGGGUAGGAUGAUAAUUUUUUUUUGUAGCUCAUUUGGAAAAAUUUGUUUCGCAAAAACUGACAAUGUCUUCAUAUAAAAAAUUUGAAAUUGUUAUGACUUACGAAAAGUUAGAAUUAAUCUUUAUAAGGAGAUUGCAUAUUUAUACUCGUAACUCUGCUCCCAAAUGAGAGGUUUUGAUGUCCGUAUAUGCAUACAGGAAGAAAAAUAUUUAUGCUCAUAUUUUUUCUUCCAAUGAGGUAUCAUAUAAGGUGUAUUUUCUAAUUUUGGUGUAGUAAUUUUUGGAUACUGUAUUUUAUUAAUAAAAUAUAUCUUUUAUUUUAUAU
This 565-nucleotide long non-coding RNA is filed under the name Ananas comosus (pineapple). Its description in RNAcentral is "long non-coding RNA (ACOM_LNC019753)". The record is from RNAcentral. Lineage: Eukaryota; Viridiplantae; Streptophyta; Magnoliopsida; Poales; Bromeliaceae.